AGCGAACGCUGGCGGCAGGCCUAACACAUGCAAGUCGAACGAACUCUUCGGAGUUAGUGGCGGACGGGUGAGUAACACGUGGGAACGUGCCUUUAGGUUCGGAAUAACUCAGGGAAACUUGUGCUAAUACCGAAUGUGCCCUUCGGGGGAAAGAUUUAUCGCCUUUAGAGCGGCCCGCGUCUGAUUAGCUAGUUGGUGAGGUAAAGGCUCACCAAGGCGACGAUCAGUAGCUGGUCUGAGAGGAUGAUCAGCCACAUUGGGACUGAGACACGGCCCAAACUCCUACGGGAGGCAGCAGUGGGGAAUCUUGCGCAAUGGGCGAAAGCCUGACGCAGCCAUGCCGCGUGAAUGAUGAAGGUCUUAGGAUUGUAAAAUUCUUUCACCGGGGACGAUAAUGACGGUACCCGGAGAAGAAGCCCCGGCUAGCUUCGUG
RNAcentral lists this ribosomal RNA (433 nucleotides) under uncultured bacterium. RNAcentral describes it as "partial 16S ribosomal RNA". It matches the Rfam family "Bacterial small subunit ribosomal RNA", at positions 29 to 507 of the family's 1533-position model. The record is from RNAcentral.